Molecule: unclassified non-coding RNA, 4378 nt
Filed under: Hevea brasiliensis (rubber tree)
Lineage: Eukaryota; Viridiplantae; Streptophyta; Magnoliopsida; Malpighiales; Euphorbiaceae
Source: RNAcentral
AAAAAAAAAAAAAAAAAAGCUAACAAUCUAUGACAGGCACCUAGCCUGCAUGAGUAACAAACAUUAUGUUUUUACCGCUUAUUCUUUGGAAUGAACAAAUCAAUCAUAUACUCACUAUUUCACUUGUGCAUUGCAGCAACUACGGAGGGGGGAAAAAACUCUAAAAUCAUAAGUAUGAUGAUAUAACCAGCUCAGUUACUUGCUUUUUCCAUAAAUCUUGAAAAUCCAAUCACUAACUCAGUUUCAUUCCAAAACUGAUGCUAUACAAACUUCUGUUAUUUGCCCCCAGCGCAAACAAGAAGCUCAGCAUGUAUAAUGGUUCACAAAAACAAUUGACCUGCAAUCAGAAGAAAUCAAGAGUGAAACCAAAUGGCAUUAACGUAGAAUAUCUAGAUUAAUAUUUUUUGAGUUUCACAAUCAAACCUAUCUAGGAUCAUAUUUCCAGUAAAAUUGUAGGCCACCACAAACAACUUUUCCAUGCAUCAAGUUUUCUUUAAUAAAUACGCUAAAUGCAGCUUUGCAAGUAUAACAGCCGACGCUUAGAACAGUGUUUUGAGAUCCUCAUUGAAGGAAACAUCACAAGCAGUGAGAACAGGAAGAUCCAUAAAUAGUAAACAAAAAUUCCCAGAAGAAUUCCUUCACCCAACAGAAAAGAAAAAUCAGCCCCUAGCUUUUAAGACAACAAAAAAUCUCAAAUAUGAACUUACAGAACUCCAGAACAAAAGUCAUUGAAAAAAAGUCUGUCUAACACGCUCCUCAUUCUCAGUCCUCAAAGAUAAGGAUAGUUAUCAAAAUAGGAUGAAAAUGGUAGAAUAAAACCAAUAUUAUUUGAUCACUUUCGACAAUCCAAUACCCACUUAGCUUAAUGAUUCUCCAAAAACCAUGUCUCUUCCAAAUCUAAAAAGCCAUCUUAAACAACAAUGCCACAUAAUCAAAUGAUCCUGAACCCAAAGUUCGAAAAUCAUUCUCAUUUCUCAUCUGCCUCCGGUUAAAAUGACAUUUGAAGCCAACAUUACACCCAUCCAGUGAAAAAUUAUCAUAUCAAACUCUUCAUCCAAGAUUAAAUACUUCAUGUCAAAGUGAGAUUAGCAAACAACAGGGCUGGAAUUAAAGAAUAGCUUCUUAUAAUAAGAGGACAAGUGAAAUGUAUAUAACACCAGUUAUGUUGUUCUCUAGGUUGUCCCUGACAAUAUUGAAGUACUUCUCUUUCACUCCAACAUGUCACUGUAUAGUACAUUAUAUAAGUGUCAUUUCCCACAUGUAUGUAAAUCAGUGGAUGUUAAAUAAAAUCAUAUCCUGGUAAAGAAUAAGCUUCCUAAAUUUUUGCCAAUUUUCAAUAUAAAUUCUUAUAGAAGUUGAAAUUUGAAUAACAAGUUUAUCAUUCUUUCAAGCAAUUGUAGCUCAGUCUAGUACAACUUAAAUUUGAGGAUAAGUACAUCUAAAUUUCGCUGCAUCAGUGACCCCAGUACAAAUAAUGAGAAGAUAGGAUAAUACUGGAAUUCCUUAAUUCAAAUGGCAGAGUAACAUUGUCGUACCUAUCUUACUUGGUAGAAACAUAGCAUUUGGAAAGAUGAACUACUGAAAACUGAAGCAUUGCCGAUGCUCCUAAAGAAUAAUCAACUAUCAUCAACAAAAAAUCAAACAUUCUCCAACAUAUAAUGAAGUUUUGGAACCCGCCGACGAAACAAUGGCUCCAGCCUGAAAGAUGGACUACCAGUCUCCCACCUCUUAACAUCAUACAUCUCAUUCCACGCCUGUACAAUCUCAUCAAUUUUGAACCCCAAUCCUUCAAGAGCAGUUUCAUUGGAACAAUGGUUCUUUAUCAUAACAGCUAUAUCUGUAGGAGAAGCACCAGCAAGUUCAAACUUUUCAACUGCAACCUCUAAACAUUCUUCCCAAGUUGGUAGCUCUAGCUUAUAUUCCACAACAGAGCGCUCAUAAAGCAUGGUACCCCAUAAGAGGUAUAUUUGUGAACUCAUAUUUGCUGCCUGCUCUGCAGCUUCUUCGGCAGAUACAUCUUUCAAUAGCCCAUCCAACCCGAAUUUCUGCAACUGGGCUUUGUAUUUGUCAAAUUUGGAAAGCCCGUUUAGACGCUGCUCCUCCAUCUCUUCCCACAUCUGCAUACCUUUCUCCAUGCAGUCCUCAGCCUUGUUAUAAAGAUCCAGGACCUCCUCAGAGGGCCCAUUUUCUAAAUCCAGCUUGCUUCCAAUAGCGUGAUACCAACAAAGCUUCGCUUCAUCAAACUGCUGUUGCCCAAGUGCAAGAAGACCUUCAUAGAAGUCUGGUUUAAUUUUUAAAGCUUCUUGGUAUCUUGUUCCUGCCUUGUAAUAUUCUUUCUUUGCCCACUCAUAUGCAUUCUUAACCUGUGCAAGUAUAGAUUCCCUCGAACCAUCUUCAGAAAAGAACACCCGUUUCCUUGCCUUGGACAUAUGAACACUUCCCCAAUUAAACAAAGCCAAAGCUGCCAUUUCUUGGAACUUAUCUGCAGCAAUAUCAAAAACUUCCUGUGCUUCUUCACUUGUCACAGUGUCCUCCAUUGCCUCUGAGUAUAAUUUCAUACCUAGUUCAUGAAGAUCCAAGUAUGAAUCAGAAUCAAAGCCAACAUGGUUCUUGAACAACCGUGCAAAUUGGAUAAUCCAAUCGUCUAUGGAAAUUGGUCCCUUUUCAACAUCUACACCUUUCCCAACAUUCCCAUUCUCAACAGCAUCACUUGGUUUCUUAUCAAUCUUGUGCAGCUCCUCUUCAACUCUCAUCCCCUCAUAAGCUGGUUCUUGAUCAGGCUCAACUUCAACAACAUAGAACCUAAGCGACCCUUGAGAAUCACUUGACGAUUCUACCAGCCUUAGCUCUUCUGUAGUAGUGAUUGUAAUCAAGUCUCCCUCUGAGUCCCUAUAUUUCAUAAGGACACCCUUCAAGCCAGGAUACCUAUCUCUGACUAUAUCCCUCAGCAGUCCAACACUACAAUUCACAGGCAACUGUGCCCACCUGAUAUCCUCCCCAAAGACUAACUUCACUGUCUUGGUAAUCACUUUCUCCUCUUUAACAUCCUUUGUAAGCACCUUCUCUUUUUCAAUAGUUUUCAUUGCCACCUCUUUGUCCUUGAUAACAGAACUCACCUUCUUCUCCUCCACAACUAUCUUAUCCUCGUCCUCUAUCUUCCUCUUCACCUCUUUAUCAUUCUUCUUCUUCUUUUUUACCUUCUCCUUCACCACCUUACGCAAACGGGCGGCACCACUCUGCUCUACAUUAGCCAAACUAAUUAAUUUCUCGUCAAAGUUAAUACCCUUCUCAGUCAUAGCCUUUUUAACGCUCUCCAAUAUCUCCAACGCCGUCAUAUUAUUGGGUUCCAUACUCAAAACAAUAUUAACAUCCCUCAAAGACAAAUCCAAUCUAUUCAAAGCCUCAUAACACCUAGCUCUUUUCAACAAAGCUUUGCUAUACUUGGGCGAAACCUCUAAAGCUAAAUUACACUCAUUGAUAGCUCGAGGAUACUCACCUAGACCCAUUUGCAUAUAGCAAGCGGCCAUGUUGCUUCGAAGAUAAGCGACGUCGAUGUGGUUUCUGGGAAGCAGCUUGACAGCUUUCUCGUACUUUAACAUGGCGCCUUCGUGGUCGCGCUUCUGAAAGAGCUUAUUCCCUUCUUCUUUGAGCUCUUGCGCCAUGUUGAUAAACAUUGCUGUGUCUUCAUCGAAGGCCUUCGAUGUCCGAUCCGUCGUGGGUUUACUCUGCUUACCAUUGGCGUCAACGGCUCUGGGUGAAUUCGGGUUCUUCUUUUUCCCAGUUGGCUUUCCCAUUUGAUAGAUUCUCAGAUAAUAUAGAGAGAAGAAACCCUUCAAAAUCAAAGCUUUAAGUACAAACCCCGAUUCUAAUUUCAAUCAAAACACUCUCUUUAACCAUCAAACAUCCAUCAAAACAGAAGGGAGGGGAAAAAAACUAACUUAUACAAAAUCAUAUAGCUAUAAUAAUUGAAAACAAAAGCCCAAACCAAACCCCAAAACACAAAAACAAAAGAAAAACCUUGUUCUUUCUUGUCUCUCUAUAACCAGAAUAAGACAGAGGUGACGCAGAGAAAGAUUAGCGUUCAAUCUCCAAUCUCUCUCUGUCUUAUCUAAAAAGGUUAUAAAAAAGGAAUGAUUUCUAUCAGGUAGAGUGAGGAUUAUAGAAGGCAUGCGUGCAUGCUAAUGUACAUUAAUGGAGGAUUUGGCUGCAGAGAGAAAUGUGUAGAACGACAAACAUUACAGCGGUUUUCUCUUUCCUAGGGUUUCAAAUUCAAUCGCCCAAGCAGAACAAGGUCAACCCUUCCCAGCCAGGAGAAAUGCCAAAGCACCCUCCUAAGGAGCGCGUGUCUGCACGCCCUGGAACAAUAAUAAUGCUAGAG